RNAcentral lists this unclassified non-coding RNA (375 nucleotides) under Hevea brasiliensis (rubber tree). Lineage: Eukaryota; Viridiplantae; Streptophyta; Magnoliopsida; Malpighiales; Euphorbiaceae. The record is from RNAcentral.
CAGAUUCUCGCCGCUCGCCGGUUCAUCUUUCGUCUUCCUUUCUUAUGCAUUUUGUUGAGGGAUCUGAGGCUGUGUUUUCUGUUUUUGAUUUUCAUAUUUUUUUUCUGUGUUUUGCCCGAUGAUGUACAUCACAAACUUGUUGAACGGUUGCAAAUGUUUGCUUUAGUUCACGCUAGCCUUCACUCACUAUCACUUUCGCCACCUCUACCACCACCACUACCUCCUCCUCCUCCUCAUUCUCUUCUUUAUUCAUACAUACAUAUAUAUAUAUAUAUACACACACAUAUAAGCGUUGUAGUGGUCUGUGAAGGCUUUCGAUGGACGCCAUUUGCGCUAAAACCGUGGAUGAUGGUUCGAAGCUAUGAGAUCUGAGGG